RNAcentral lists this long non-coding RNA (1079 nucleotides) under Calidris pygmaea (Spoon-billed sandpiper). RNAcentral describes it as "lncRNA (ENSCPGG00000017846.1)". Lineage: Eukaryota; Metazoa; Chordata; Aves; Charadriiformes; Scolopacidae. The record is from RNAcentral.
AUUAAUUGUAUGACAUCUGAUCAGGAACCCAGCUGCUGCAAACUAUGCUAUAAACAGGAAGGUCAGAGCGAACAAAUCAAACAUGCCUCUGGUGCUGAACGCUGCAACGGCACGACUGGAAGGGAAAUAGAGCAGAGGCUCAUUUGAAGGGGUAGGGCUGCCGGCAUCCCACUGCCGGUUGCAUUUGCACCGACUCCAUGUGAAUGAUAAAUGAGGAAGUGAAAUAACCACCUGCUGCGAAGCACCUGCCUUGAAGACCACUCAGCAUUCAGGUAAGGCAAAUGUGUUGUUACUGUGGGGAAGGAAUCGGCAAGGAGCCUUCUCGCCUCAAACAAACAAGGACUUAAAAGCCCUGUGAAUCAGGUCUUAAAGUGAAAAAAUGGGGUGAUUGGAUCUCUCAGUUCAUCAGAAGUACCCUUCUGUGAGGAGUCAGAGUGGUAAGAGAGGUAGGGAAGUGUAACUUAGGGGUUAUUUCUUAUUCUCAAGGUGAAGGAAGGAGGUAGAAAAUCCUAUCCCUAGAUCCAAAUAGCAACCUUUGUCUUUGUCCUCGGGUGAAGAGGCAAAAAAUUUUCCCCUUAGUAAAUUAUCUUCAUGUGAAGCUACUCUGAGAGAUCACAUCAGUGUUGAUGGAAGAGGUGGUUUGGGACCAACAGAAGGUGCAAGGCUUUCCCAGGUAACCACAUGAGUUUUGCUUUCAGCUACAACCAGUGACGAAGAAGGAAGAACGGUGGCUACUAAGCAUAUAUUUGAGGAAGAACAGCCAUUGAUGCAGGGAGUUGUUGCCUGACAUAAGAUCAUGCUCGUGUGCAAAGGUGUAAAGAUGAGGGUGCUCAUCAGUCUUCUUCUGACUCCAUGCUUGGUUUUGGGGGUUAGAACUAUUCGAGAGAGCAUCCCAAUGCAGACCCUACAGUGUUAUAACGACUACGUAUCUCUUACAACUUGCACAUGGAUGGAGUGUUCAGAGGCUCAUGAAUUCCUGAAUGUGACUCUGAAUUUUAACAAGUAUGAAAAGUAAGUGCCUGUCUGGUCUUCUGAAAAUGGUCUAAAGGGGCUUGACUGCUGAACCUAAGAGAUGGAGC